Non-coding RNA from Gossypium raimondii (Peruvian cotton), 107 nucleotides. The record is from Rfam. NCBI's taxonomy places the organism in Eukaryota, Viridiplantae, Streptophyta, Magnoliopsida, Malvales, Malvaceae.
AUCCCAUGGUAAGGGUACUUCCGCAAAAGCUGUUUGAACCACUCAUAUGCCUCAUACAGAGAUUCAUAAUCAAGUUGUUGAAAUGUAGUGAUUUCAUUCCGAAGCUU